GACCCGCGGCCAUUGACAUGCUGCCACGUCACCCUAGUUACUGUUCACGUGAUAAUUAAGCUCAAAUUUGGAUGUUCUAAUUUCUAAUUAUUGAUUCUUAGUUUCCUCUAAUUGACUUGAGAACUAAUUAACAAACUAGUACAUUCCUACUAGCUUGUCAAUUUAGUCACUUGAAGCCUUGUGUUCGUGUCAACGUUUGUUUGUGUGCUUUUGUCGUUUGAAUAUGUUGUAACUCUUGGCUCUAGUCCGACGAGAAUUCUUUGAGUUUCAAACAAGAAUACAUUCCGGGCAAGAGCAUACUCAUACCUUAUGGAUUCAUGGGUUCCUAGCCAAUCUACAGCUCUUGUGGAACUUGAGUGUGAGUAAACCAAGAGAGUGUGAGUAAGGAGAGGAACCACGUCUCAAACCGUGGAUUCUGAUGAAAUGAAGAAUAUGAGGGUCACUCUUGAGGCUAUGACCCGAGCUCUUGAAAGGUUGAGUAUAGAAGUGGAAGCCAUAAGGGGAGAAGUGACAACUAUUAGUAGGAGGUUAGAACAAGUGGAGAGUCAAAGAAACUCUCGUCCUUCUACUCCUCGACAUGUUUCGUCAAGUGGACAUCAUAGAAAUUCCUCCGCCACCGUUAUUCCCGAAACAUGGCCACAAUUGCUAAAUCCUUCACUAGCUCCACUAAAAGCCACAAGCAAACCACUUAUAACCCUCUAAACCGAGACUCCAAUAGAACAACCCAUUCCCAAAUGUCUCAAGUUUUGAAAGAGGUACUCGGACAUCAAAUGCCUCCACAAAAUCCGAACCCCCCUUCUAAGCUCCACUAAACCAAAGACCACCACCUCCACAAAAUCCAAUUCCUCCGAAUCAAGUUCCAAAUGUCCAAAAUCAUCCUGUCCACCUUGAGGAAUAUGGUAGGGAGGAUUAUGAAGGGUAUGGAGCCUUUAACGAUGCCUAUAUGAGGUAGAAAAAGAUGAGAGGAGGUCGUGUGGAUCCAAGAAGAUAUCGAGGGUAUGGAGAAAGGGGAAAUCGACACCUAGAGAGAGACGUAGGCAUCAAUACCAUCAAAUGGAGCCUACUUAUCUUUAAGGGUGAAAGUAACCCCAAGGUGUAUCUUUCUUGGGAGUCGGCAUGUGAUAAAGUGUUUCAAGUAAAUGAUAUGUCGGAGGAGAAGAAGAGUUGUUAUGCCAUAGCUCAUUUUGAAGGCUAUGCUAACACUUGGUGGGAAUACGUCAAGCGGUUCGGCAACGAGUUGGUAGAGGGAAAACUACCACCAUGGUUUCGGUUGAGGUACCUAAUGAGGCAACGGUAUCUUUCCGAAAGUUAUCGUCAUGAGUUGCUUGCUAGGUUGUACAAUUUGCGACAAGGGAAUCGAAGUGUUAUGGCAUACUAUAAAGAGUUUCAACAACUCAUGUUGAAGCUUGAUCAUCGGGGAAAACAAAUUGGCCAUGACAUCAUUCGGUUCAAGUGUGGGUUGAACAAAGAGAUCUCCACUCAUUUGACGCUUCACGAGUUUAAUACCAUUGAAGGGAUUUUCCAAGAGGCUCUUGAGAUUGAUAGGGAGCUUAAAGAGAGGUCGUUGUUCAAGGCAAAGGGACCAUUAACCUCGGGUUGGCCGAGGAGCAAAGAUAUGGUUCAACCAUCUUUGAAUGUCUAAAUCUAAAGUUGAGCUUAAUGAAAAAGAAAAUUGUGUUGUGAAAGAAAAAAAAAGAAAAAAAAAAGGAGUUUGAAAAAUGUUACAACACUUUAUGUUUUCCAUCCCAAUAACAAGUCAUCCAUUACAAAAUAUCUAAGGGGACUAAGAAUUCAAGUUGAUGAACUAUUUAUGUGGACCCGCGGCCAUUGACAUGCUGCCACGUCACCCUAGUUACUGUUCACGUGAUAAUUAAGAAAAAGAGAAUGAGGCCGAGCCUCAAGAUGGAGAGAAACCCAAAAAAUGAGCCAUAUGAUGAUGAUUGUGAGAAUGCUUAUUCACAAGAAGGGAAGUGCGUGGUUCCAAACUUUGUAGUAAGGCGUGCCAUUGUGUCACCGUUUGUUUGUGUGCUUUUGUCGUUUGAAUAUGUUGUAACUCUUGGCUCUAGUCCGACGAGAAUUCUUUGAGUUUCAAACAAGAAUACAUUCCGGGCAAGAGCAUACUCAUACCUUACGGAUUCACGGGUUCCUAGCCAAUCUACAACUCUUGUGGAACUUGAGUGUGAGUGAACCAAGAGAGUGUGAGUGAGGAGAGGGAUUUUAAACUAACUUGUUUGUUGCUUGUGUAGGUGAUACCUUGAUAAUGGAGGGAACCACGUCUCAAA
RNAcentral lists this long non-coding RNA (2282 nucleotides) under Capsicum annuum. RNAcentral describes it as "long non-coding RNA (CANN_LNC003571)". Lineage: Eukaryota; Viridiplantae; Streptophyta; Magnoliopsida; Solanales; Solanaceae. The record is from RNAcentral.